GAUGAACGCUGGCGGCGUGCUUAACACAUGCAAGUCGAACGAAGCACUUUAUUUGAUUUCCUUCGGGACUGAUUAUUUUGUGACUGAGUGGCGGACGGGUGAGUAACGCGUGGGUAACCUGCCUUGUACAGGGGGAUAACAGUUGGAAACGGCUGCUAAUACCGCAUAAGCGCACAGCAUCGCAUGCUGCAGUGUGAAAAACUCCGGUGGUAUAAGAUGGACCCGCGUUGGAUUAGCUAGUUGGUGAGGUAACGGCCCACCAAGGCGACGAUCCAUAGCCGACCAGGGAGGGUGACCGGCCACAUUGGGACUGAGACACGGCCCAAACUCCUACGGGAGGCAGCAGUGGGGAAUAUUGCACAAUGGGCGAAAGCCUGAUGCAGCGACGCCGCGUGAGCGAAGAAGUAUUUCGGUAUGUAAAGCUCUAUCAGCAGGGAAGAUAAUGACGGUACCUGACUAAGAAGCACCGGCUAAAUACGUG
This 481-nucleotide ribosomal RNA is filed under the name uncultured bacterium. Its description in RNAcentral is "partial 16S ribosomal RNA". It matches the Rfam family "Bacterial small subunit ribosomal RNA", at positions 28 to 507 of the family's 1533-position model. The record is from RNAcentral.